This 450-nucleotide ribosomal RNA is filed under the name uncultured Lentisphaerota bacterium. RNAcentral's name for it is "bacterial SSU rRNA". It matches the Rfam family "Bacterial small subunit ribosomal RNA", at positions 8 to 484 of the family's 1533-position model. The record is from RNAcentral. Lineage: Bacteria; Pseudomonadati; Lentisphaerota.
AGAGUUUGAUCAUGGCUCAGAACGAACGCUGGCGGCAUGGAUUAGGCAUGCAAGUCGUACGCUUGUAGCAAUACAGGAGUGGCGAAAGGGUGAGGAACACGUGAGUAACCUACCCUCAAGUUGGGAAUAACGCCGGGAAACUGGCGCUAAUACCGAAUGUGGCUGACGAACCGCAUGGUUUGUCAUCUAAAGAUUUAUCGCUUGAGGAGGGGCUCGCGUCCCAUUAGCUAGUUGGUGAGGUAACGGCCCACCAAGGCAACGAUGGGUAGCUGGUCUGAGAGGAUGGCCAGCCACACUGGGACUGAGACACUGCCCAGACUCCUACGGGAGGCUGCAGUCGAGAAUCUUGGGCAAUGCGCGAAAGCGUGACCCAGCAAUGCCGCGUGCAGGAUGAAGGCCUUCGGGUUGUAAACUGCUGUCACCCGGGACGAAGAAUGACGGUACCGGGAG